UGGCGGCGUGCUUAACACAUGCAAGUCGAACGAAGCAUCCCUCCCGAAGAAGCGGAAGUGCUUGCACCGAAGUGGAUUCAUUGGGAUGACUAGUGGCGGACGGGUGAGUAACGCGUGGGCAACCUGCCCCAUAGAGGGGGACAACAGUUAGAAAUGACUGCUAAUACCGCAUAGGAAGAAACUGACGCAUGUCAGUUUCUUGAAAGCUUUUGCGCUAUGGGAUGGGCCCGCGUUUGAUUAGCUAGUUGGUGAGGUAACGGCCCACCAAGGCGACGAUCAAUAGCCGGCUUGAGAGAGUGAACGGCCACAUUGGGACUGAGACACGGCCCAAACUCCUACGGGAGGCAGCAGUGGGGAAUAUUGCACAAUGGGGGAAACCCUGAUGCAGCCGACGCCGCGUGAGUGAAUGAAGUAUUUCGGUAUGUAAAGCUCUAUCAGCAGGAAAGAUAAUGACGGUACCUGACUAAGAAGCCCCGGCUAACUACGUGCCAGCCGCGGC
Molecule: ribosomal RNA, 499 nt
Filed under: uncultured bacterium
Lineage: Bacteria
Description: bacterial SSU rRNA
Rfam family: Bacterial small subunit ribosomal RNA
Source: RNAcentral